UACGUAGGGUGCGAGCGUUGUCCGGAAUUAUUGGGCGUAAAGAGCUCGUAGGCGGUCUGUCGCGUCGGUCGUGAAAACUUGGGGCUUAACCCUGAGCUUGCGGUCGAUACGGGCAUGACUGGAGUUCGGUAGGGGAGACUGGAAUUCCUGGUGUAGCGGUGAAAUGCGCAGAUAUCAGGAGGAACACCGGUGGCGAAGGCGGGUCUCUGGGCAGUAACUGACGCUGAGGAGCGAAAGCGUGGGGAGCGAACAGG
This 254-nucleotide ribosomal RNA is filed under the name uncultured bacterium. RNAcentral describes it as "partial 16S ribosomal RNA". It matches the Rfam family "Bacterial small subunit ribosomal RNA", at positions 524 to 776 of the family's 1533-position model. The record is from RNAcentral.